Molecule: ribosomal RNA, 818 nt
Filed under: uncultured Paracoccaceae bacterium
Lineage: Bacteria; Pseudomonadati; Pseudomonadota; Alphaproteobacteria; Rhodobacterales; Paracoccaceae
Description: bacterial SSU rRNA
Rfam family: Bacterial small subunit ribosomal RNA
Source: RNAcentral
AUAGUUUGAUUCUGGCUCAGAACGAACGCUGGCGGCAGGCCUAACACAUGCAAGUCGAACGAAGCCUUCGGGCUUAGUGGCGGACGGGUUAGUAACGCGUGGGAACGUGCCUUUCACUACGGAACAGUCCUGGGAAACUGGGUUUAAUACCGUGUACGCCCCUCGGGGGAAAGAAUUUCGGUGAAAGAUCGGCCCGCGUUAGAUUAGAUAGUUGGUGGGGUAAUGGCCUACCAAGUCUACGAUCUAUAGCUGGUUUUAGAGGAUGAUCAGCAACACUGGGACUGAGACACGGCCCAGACUCCUACGGGAGGCAGCAGUGGGGAAUCUUGGACAAUGGGCGCAAGCCUGAUCCAGCCAUGCCGCGUGAGUGAUGAAGGCCUUAGGGUCGUAAAGCUCUUUCAACGGUGAAGAUAAUGACGGUAGCCGUAGAAGAAACCCCGGCUAACUCCGUGCCAGCAGCCGCGGUAAUACGGAGGGGGUUAGCGUUGUUCGGAAUUACUGGGCGUAAAGCGCGCGUAGGCGGAUUGGAAAGUUGGGGGUGAAAUCCCAGGGCUCAACCCUGGAACUGCCUCCAAAACUAUCAGUCUAGAGUUCGAGAGAGGUGAGUGGAACUCCGAGUGUAGAGGUGAAAUUCGUAGAUAUUCGGAAGAACACCAGUGGCGAAGGCGGCUCACUGGCUCGAUACUGACGCUGAGGUGCGAAAGUGUGGGGAGCAAACAGGAUUAGAUACCCUGGUAGUCCACACCGUAAACGAUGAAUGCCAGUCGUCGGGUAGCAUGCUAUUCGGUGACACACCUAACGGAUUAAGCAUUCCGCCU